RNAcentral lists this ribosomal RNA (497 nucleotides) under uncultured bacterium. Its description in RNAcentral is "partial 16S ribosomal RNA". It matches the Rfam family "Bacterial small subunit ribosomal RNA", at positions 28 to 507 of the family's 1533-position model. The record is from RNAcentral.
GAUGAACGCUGGCGGCGUGCCUAAUACAUGCAAGUCGAGCGAACAGACGAUGAGCUUGCUCCUCUGACGUUAGCGGCGGACGGGUGAGUAACACGUGGAUAACCUACCUAUAAGACUGGGAUAACUUCGGGAAACCGGAGCUAAUACCGGAUAAUAUAUUGAACCGCAUGGUUCAAUAGUGAAAGACGGCUUUGCUGUCACUUAUAGAUGGAUCCGCGCCGCAUUAGCUAGUUGGUAAGGUAACGGCUUACCAAGGCAACGAUGCGUAGCCGACCUGAGAGGGUGAUCGGCCACACUGGAACUGAGACACGGUCCAGACUCCUACGGGAGGCAGCAGUAGGGAAUCUUCCGCAAUGGGCGAAAGCCUGACGGAGCAACACCGCGUGAGUGAUGAAGGUCUUCGGAUCGUAAAACUCUGUUAUUAGGGAAGAACAGAUGUGUAAGUAACUAUGCACGUCUUGACGGUACCUAAUCAGAAAGCCACGGCUAACUACGUG